This 1246-nucleotide long non-coding RNA is filed under the name Penaeus chinensis. RNAcentral describes it as "uncharacterized LOC125032961, transcript variant X1". Lineage: Eukaryota; Metazoa; Arthropoda; Malacostraca; Decapoda; Penaeidae. The record is from RNAcentral.
AGUUCCGGCAUCAGUCUCUCCUCGUCUGCGGUUCGGAGUCUAAGCGACCUCUUUCAUUGGACGAAAACCUGACCACUUCGAGAGGCAGUCGACUGGCCAAUUGCGGUAACAAGCUCGAGCUCCAAGUCCUUUCGCAGAGAUAUAACGUUCCCUGAGCCUGAUAAGCAAUCGCUAGCGGAACUCUACGGAUACUCAACGCCCUCAAUCGUUUGUUCAGCUCGAGAGAAUCAACAGGAGUGAAAUCCUGUAAAGAGAAGUCAAAGCAUUGCGAUAAAAACUCCAUAUUUUCUCAUUUGACGAUCGUAAAAACCGUUUGAAAACAGUUAAACAAAGAGUGACGUUAUUUUUGGAGUGAUUUCUAUAAAAAAAUAAUUGUUUGCAAGUCUCCUAAUAAAAACAUCUUGAGAUUUCUGUUGCACUCGCAAGUUAUACUUGAAUUUACAUAGCAUUUACCUGAGUGAGCCAGAAGGUCACCGAAGAAGAAGAAGCAAGCAAUCAAGAUGGUUCAGGAACACUCUUACUCCGCCAACACCUACGUUGAUGACGCCCAGGCCAGGCGUUCGACCUACAAGGCCAUGCAGUUGGGCGCUUACAACAGCAACCCCCAGGGCAACACGGCCUCGACAAGGACCAAGGCUAAGAAGGCCAAUCCUCAGGUCGAUGUCUGGGGUCCUGUGUUCAAGAAUAAGGAGCAUUUCGUGAACAUGCAUCUGUGUUGAAGAUUGUUCAUGGAGGAGGAGGAGGAGGAGGAGGAGGAGGAAGCAGAGGUAGAAGGAGGAGGAGGGAGGAAGAAUAACAGAAGGUAUAUGGAGUUGGAAUAGAAUGAUGAGGAGGAGGAUAACUCGGAAGAGGAGGAGGGGGAGAACUCGGAAGAGGAGGAGGAAGUUGGAAUAAGAGGAGAAAGAGAAUGAGAAGGAGGAGGAGGAGGAGGGGAAUAUUUAGAUAUUUUUUUUUGCCUUGGCUAAUUUAUUCUAAUUGUUCACAAGUACUAGCAAUUCAUUCAUGAUCAUUGUUCCUCCGUGACGAAUAUCUCACGGGGAAUUCAUUGUGUGGAUAUAAAUGUUUAAUUAACAAUAUUUUAUGAACAGUGAGAGAGAGAGAGAGAGAGAGAGAGAGAGAGAGAGAGAGAGAGAGAGAGAGAGAGAGAGAGAGAGAGAGAGAGAGAGAGAGAGACUUAUGUACUAAUCAUCAGUGUCUGAUAUAUGUGUCAUCACUUCAUUUUUGAUUAAUAAAGAGCUUGAAUUUU